This is an RNA transcript of Sciurus carolinensis (gray squirrel), 2002 nucleotides long. It is a transcript of the gene named phospholipid-transporting ATPase ABCA7-like, with no coding region annotated. The record is from RefSeq and is a predicted model, not a curated record. The transcript has 5 exons. Lineage: Eukaryota; Metazoa; Chordata; Mammalia; Rodentia; Sciuridae.
GAUGGCAAAAAGGUUAGAAGAUGAUGGGCCAAAUGGAGCUAUUCAUGUAGGUAGGGGCCCAGGGGACAUUAAUUAGCAAUGCCCUGUCUGCAGCCUUUUGAAUGGGGUGUUAUAGGCAGGCAACCUUGGUGAUCAAAAGGGCUGUGGAGAUACUGACAUUCCAGUCUCCCUGGGGUGUUCUCCAACUUCCCAGAGUCAGAUGGCCUCCAUUCCUCAAUUCUACCAGAUUCCCUAUUCCACACUAAUUGCCUCUCCUCAAUUCUGGCUUCACCAACAUCUCCCAGUCACUAUACAGGAUGGGGAGAAGUGAAAAGAUAAGGGAGAAGAAUGCAGGAGAACAAAGGAAACUUUAGAUGUAUACAAGAGGACAGAACUUCCUCUCCCAGGGAUUCCAAGUUUGGGUUCCCUUCUUCCACCUGGGAGAAGUCUCUUCUACUGUUCUUUAAUAAAGCUUCUUACUGUCUACUCUAUACUUGCCUUGGUACUAGGGUUAUACUUCAACAUCUGAGGAAGCAGGACUUGUCAAGGUAACUGAUAACCAAAGGUAUUAACAUCAGACUUUCAAGUCUCCAUUGCACAUGACAACUCUAGGUCACUGUGGCUACUGCUGAUUGGUUCUUAUUGAAAACUAUUCUCAAGAUUUUAUGGUUAGGCAAGUUAAUGGUACCUGCUUCUAGAUUUCAGGACUAUCUAGGAGGCUAUGGUUAUUAAAACAUGGUUGAGCUUCAGGACAUGCAAAAACAUUAGUGGAAACAAAGAAGUUUCUUGAAUUAGGACACACAUAAAAGAAAUUAAACAGAGAGGCAUCAACUAGGAUAUUGUGGAGGAUAAUGGAAUGGACCAUCAUUGAUUCGUUGUUUGAAUUGGGAGUUGAGGAAACCUGAGAGUUGAACCUUGUACAUUUAUUUGUGUGGGGCACAGAGGUCAUGUGGAGGGACACUAAAAUUGGGAGUGGGUACAGCAUAGAGAAGGAGGGCACUGGUGAAGGGUUUUUGAGGCAGUGGCAGAAGAGAUGUCCUGAAGCUCCUGUUAUAGGAAUCACAGCAGAAUGACUAUGAGGUCACAGGACACAGGUUACCAGACCCUUUGAGUUCUGUCAGUACCAUCUUCUUGAGCUCUGUGUACUAGAGAUUACAAACCUCUGCUCUAGAGUACGUACGCAACAGUGGAAAUCCUGGACCAUAAGAAGCCACAGAGACAUACCUGCUCAGUGGAUGAAGGGCAAAGGCUCAUACCAAGUGAAGGGUUGGAAACUCACAGAGCAACAAGUUAUGGCCCUUUCAUGGAAGAGGCUGUUGAUUCCCAGAUGGAGUUGGAAAAGAUUUUUUGCUCAGAUUGUGCUGCCAGCUGUUUGUCUGCUUUGCCCUGGUGUUCAGUCUGAUUGGCAAGUACCCUUUGGCAAGUACCCCAGCCUGGACCUUCACCCUGGAUGUACAAUGAGCAUUAUGCAUUUUCAGGGCCAGGACCCACAGAACUCUUGAACAGAGCAGAAGCAGACCAUUACAGUGGCCCUCAUGCUAGUGAUGAGUGAAGUUCAUCAAUGGAGUGAAGCCUGCUAUCUUCUGGAUCUUCUAUUUUAUAUUUUAAUAACAUUGUCUAUAAAUCUCCAUCAAGGCCAUAGGUUAGUAUGUAUAAACAAAGAAUGACUGGCUGUUACCAGCAAGUGUUCAAACUAAUCUCAAAGAUGUAUGGAAAAGGGAAAGGCAGAGGCAGUUGUAUUCUUCCAUGACACCAAUUGUUUGGGAUAUAGCAUCUUAUCUCACACCAGAGAGAGUCUGUCCAUAGUGACUUCAAUUAAUACUAUCACCACCACCCAGUUUCCUAUGUGAAGUCUUUUCAAAGAAACAUAAAUAAAGAAAACUCUUAGACAUAACUCAGAGCUAGUGUCUCUAAUGUUUUUGAUAGGCUUUUCCCUCCAGAGUCAGAGUAUUCUUUGCCUUACUAUGAAAUUAAUCUGUCCUCUGGGGGCCAAAUAAAUAAGUGAUGUACUUCCUGUUUUUCA